Molecule: ribosomal RNA, 552 nt
Filed under: uncultured bacterium
Lineage: Bacteria
Description: bacterial SSU rRNA
Rfam family: Archaeal small subunit ribosomal RNA
Source: RNAcentral
AGCGAAUAGAUACCCAGGUAGUCCUAGCCGUAAACGAUACUCGCUAGGUGUCGGCCACGGUGCGACCGUUGUCGGUGCCGUAGGGAAAGCCGUGAAGCGAGCCACCUGGGAAGUACGGCCGCAAGGCUGAAACUUAAAGGAAUUGGCGGGGGAGCACCACAACGGGUGGAGCUUGCGGUUUAAAUUGGAUUCAACGCCGGAAAUCUUACCGGGACCGACAGCAAUAUGAAGGCCAGGCUGAAGACUUUGCCGGAUUAGCUGAGAGGUGGUGCAUGGCCGUCGUCAGUUCGUACUGUGAAGCAUCCUGUUAAGUCAGGCAACGAGCGAGACCCACGCCCACAGUUGCCAGCGUACUCUCUGGAGUGACGGGUACACUGUGGGGACCGCCGCUGCUAAAGCGGAGGAAGGAAUGGGCAACGGUAGGUCAGUAUGCCCCGAAUAUCCCGGGCUACACGCGAGCUACAAUGGUUGGUACAAUGGGUAUCUACCCGAAAGGGACGGGAAUCUCCUAAAACCAAUCUUAGUUCGGAUUGAGGGCUGCAACUCGCCCUC